CGGAGUGUUGCUGAGACGCCCAACAUCGCGUCGCAGUGUUGCCAAAUCCGCGAAAGCUUUUCCAUCCGUGCGAGACUCUUCCCCUUGAUUCUGAUGAUCUUUGCGAGAUUUUUUCUUUUCCCAACUGUCACUGAUUAUCCCUGCUCAUCCCUACUCCUCUCUCGCUCUUUCUCUCUCUCUCUUUCCGUCUCUCCGAUAGAAGAUCGAAGGAAAGAAGAACAUCGUGGGACUGAGACGACUCAGUGGCAAAGAGGAUGAGGUUGAACGGUGGCGAUCGAUGCCACGUUAGAGUAGCUGGUCUUUACACGAUCCAAAGGUAGUAGUAGCCUUCGGAAAAGGCCCGAGAGUUUCUAUUCGAAGCCGGAGAAGAGUAGAAAAAAAAGCAAAUAACGAAAAUAAAAAAAAAGGAAGAUAGGGAAAGAGAGAGAGGAAGGGAAACGUGGAGGAGAUCGGGUAUUCCGUGCGUUCGUCGCGCACGGAAUACGUUCAAAACGAAGAGAGAGAGAGAGAGAGAAAGAGAGAAAAAGGGCUGUAAGGGUGGGGGUAGUUUAGAUGCCCUCUACAUACACGUCCAACGUCGUAGCAGAAAACGACCUAGCCAAGCGGGUUGUGCUGUUGAAAGAAGACGGAGAGAACAAAUUCAAGCUUGCUGAGUCGUCCUUAUCGUAACGCAAGUUUAAUAAACAAGAAGCAGAAGAAGCAGAAGCAGCAGAAGGAAACGAAAGGAGGAUAAGAAGAUAGAGAAGAAAAGAAGAAGACGAAGAUGAAGCAGAAGAAGAAGAAGAAGAAGAAGAAGAAGAAGAGAAGGAAAAGGAUGCUGGGGAUCCUUUCGUUUGAGCUAUCACCUCGAGAUCGUUCGUGGUAUGCGCUACCUAAAAGCACGUUCUUAAUUCAUGGCGAUCGCUCAACGUUGCAACGCGCCGUCGAAAUAAUAAAUAUUACGCCUUACUGCGAGUAGCAA
Molecule: long non-coding RNA, 961 nt
Filed under: Polistes fuscatus (common paper wasp)
Lineage: Eukaryota; Metazoa; Arthropoda; Insecta; Hymenoptera; Vespidae
Description: uncharacterized LOC122513974, transcript variant X1
Source: RNAcentral